AGGAAAGGGAGGGAUUCGAA
Molecule: transfer RNA, 20 nt
Filed under: Elaphoglossum deckenii
Lineage: Eukaryota; Viridiplantae; Streptophyta; Polypodiopsida; Polypodiales; Dryopteridaceae
Also listed under: 5 other names
Description: partial tRNA-Ser
Source: RNAcentral